This 87-nucleotide transfer RNA is filed under the name Lysobacteraceae bacterium. Its description in RNAcentral is "tRNA-Leu". It matches the Rfam family "tRNA". Rfam says of the family: Transfer RNA (tRNA) molecules are approximately 80 nucleotides in length. Their secondary structure includes four short double-helical elements and three loops (D, anti-codon, and T loops). Lineage: Bacteria; Pseudomonadati; Pseudomonadota; Gammaproteobacteria; Lysobacterales; Lysobacteraceae. The record is from RNAcentral.
GCCCGGGUGGCGAAACCGGUAGACGCAGGGGACUUAAAAUCCCCCGGCCUUGCGGCCAUGCGGGUUCGACCCCCGCCCCGGGCACCA